AAAAUAAUUUUAAUUCAAAAUAUGAAAGAGGAAAUUAUUUGAAUUUUUUUUGGUGAAACUCUCAUAUUUUUUGGAUCAUUAUUAAAAUUAAUAUGAAUUAAUGAAAAUCAAAGGAAUAAAAAUAAAAAUAAAAAAAUCAAAAAAACGGGAACCACUUGAUCUCCCUCAUUAAUUGAGGUGGCAGAUUAAGUGGUCUGAAACGCG
Molecule: long non-coding RNA, 204 nt
Filed under: Lathyrus oleraceus (garden pea)
Lineage: Eukaryota; Viridiplantae; Streptophyta; Magnoliopsida; Fabales; Fabaceae
Description: Pisum sativum (pea) long non-coding RNA (PSAT_LNC004588)
Source: RNAcentral